AUUCCAAUCGAACUCGGAGAUAGCUGGUUCUCCCCGAAAUAGCUUUAGGGCUAGCCUCGAGGGAAGAUUACCGGGGGUAGAGCACUGAAUGGGCUAGGGGGCCACAAAGCUUACCGAACCCUAUCAAACUUCGAAUACCGGAUAAUAGAUACUCGGGAGUCAGACAGUGUGAGAUAAGUUUCAUUGUCGAGAGGGAAACAGCCCAGACCAACGAUUAAGGUCCCAAAAUUCAAGUUAAGUGGAAAAGGAUGUGCAGAUGCGCAGACAACCAGGAUGUUGGCUUAGAAGCAGCCACACAUUUAAAGAGUGCGUAAUAGCUCACUGGUCGAGUGAAUGUGCGCCGAAUAUGUACCGGGGCUAAACUUGAUACCGAAAUCUUGGCAGUUACGAAAGUAACUGGGUAGGGGAGCAACGAAUACGGGCAGAAGCAAGACCGGGAGGUCGUGUGGACUGUAUUGGAGAGAGAAUGCCGGCAUGAGUAGCGAAAGCUAAGUGAGAAUCUUAGCCGUCGAAAGCCUAAGGAUUCCUGAGGAAGGUUCGUCCACUCAGGGUAAGUCGGGACCUAAGCCGAGGACAGAAGUCGUAGGCGAUGGACAACAGGUUGAUAUUCCUGUACCGCCGAUAGCGAUUGAGCGAAGCAGUGACACGGAAGGAUAGACAAAGCGGGGAGAUGGAAACCCCCGUCCAAGCGAUAAGGGAGGCGAGUAGUGAAGUACGCUCGCUGAAAAUUCUGAGUCGUUAGGGGGACCGAAAAGCAAGUAGGGAAGUUGUUGAAUCCACGCCGGCGAGAAAAGCUGCUAGCGAGCGAAAAGGCGCCCGUACCGCAAACCGACACAGGUAGGCGAGGAGAGAAUCCUAAGACGAGCGGGAGAACCCUUGUUAAGGAACUCGGCAAAAUGACCCCGUAACUUCGGGAGAAGGGGUGCCUCGAGAGAGGCCGCAGAGAAUAGGCCCAAGCGACUGUUUACCAAAAACACAGGUCUGUGCGAAGUAGAGAUACGACGUAUACGGGCUGACGCCUGCCCAGUGCCGGAAGGUUAAGGGGAAGUGUUAGGUUUAGGCCGAAGCACGGAACUUAAGCCCCGGUGAACGGCGGCCGUAACUAUAACGGUCCUAAGGUAGCGAAAUUCCUUGUCGGGUAAGUUCCGACCCGCACGAAUGGCGUAACGACUUGGGCACUGUCUCAACAAGGGACCCGGCGAAAUUGUAGUAUGUGUGAAGAUGCACAUUACCCGCGAUAGGACGGAAAGACCCCGUAGAGCUUUACUGUAGUUUGACAUUGGAUUUUGGUAACACAUGCACAGGAUAGGUGGGAGGCAUGGAAGUUAGUACUCCGGUACUAAUGGAGCCAACGUUGGGAUACCACUCUUGUGUUACUGGAGUUCUAACGAGCGGCCGUAAACCGGCGUUCGGACAGUGUCAGAUGGGCAGUUUGACUGGGGCGGUCGCCUCCGAAAGAGUAACGGAGGCGUCCAAAGGUUCCCUCAGAAUGGUUGGAAACCAUUCGAAGAGUGCAAAGGCAGAAGGGAGCCUGACUGCGAGACCGACAGGUCGAGCAGGGAGGAAACUCGGGCUUAGUGAUCCGGCGGUAGAGAGUGGAAUUGCCGUCGCUCAACGGAUAAAAGCUACCUCGGGGAUAACAGGCUUAUCUCCCCCAAGAGUCCACAUCGACGGGGAGGUUUGGCACCUCGAUGUCGGCUCGUCGCAUCCUGGGGCUGGAGCAGGUCCCAAGGGUUUGGCUGUUCGCCAAUUAAAGCGGCACGCGAGCUGGGUUCAGAACGUCGUGAGACAGUUCGGUCCCUAUCCAUCGUGGGCGCAGGAGAUUUGAGAGGAGCUGUCCUCAGUACGAGAGGACCGGGAUGGACGCACCAAGGGUGAAUCGGUUGUCGCGCCAGCGGCACGGCCGGGUAGCCAAGUGCGGAACGGAUAAACGCUGAAGGCAUCUAAGCGUGAAGCCGACCUCAAGAUAAGAUCUCCUAUUCAGGAAUGAAGAGAGACCCCUUGAAGACUACAAGGUUGAUAGGUCGGAGGUGGAAGUACGGUAACGUAUGCAGCUGACCGAUACUAAUAGGUCGAAAGCUUGAUCA
RNAcentral lists this ribosomal RNA (2087 nucleotides) under human gut metagenome. RNAcentral describes it as "bacterial LSU rRNA". It matches the Rfam family "Bacterial large subunit ribosomal RNA", at positions 826 to 2925 of the family's 2925-position model. The record is from RNAcentral.